This 831-nucleotide long non-coding RNA is filed under the name Mus caroli (Ryukyu mouse). Its description in RNAcentral is "predicted gene 13849 (MGP_CAROLIEiJ_G0006313.1)". Lineage: Eukaryota; Metazoa; Chordata; Mammalia; Rodentia; Muridae. The record is from RNAcentral.
AUGCAAUGAACCCCCAGGAUAAGUUACAGCCCUAGGCAUGCCUGCCAUAGACUUCUUCUGGCCCUUGUCAGAACCACCCUCUCCCAGUACCCCUGAGGAACUGCUUGUGCCCGGGGGUGGCUGGCAGCAGUAGGCACCAUAUGGCUGCCAUGGAGGCGGUCUUUUUGGGAGAAGGGAAAUCUUGGAGACAGUCUACAGGCUGGAUGGAACUCCCAGCCCUGCAGAGGAAGCUCUUGUCUGGCACUUGCCUGUAGCUGUCUCAGUGGUCAUGGCUCCUACAAAGAGACCCCAUGUGGCCAAGAGGACAGUCUAUCACCCAGCCUUGGGGACUCAGUCUUAUGCUAGCAGCUGUGAGUUAAUGGGUGUGGUGGCCACGCCGGGUCCAGAAGAUACUGCUUCCGUUCUCCAUCCAGUUCUUACAUUCUGGCCUCUUCUGUGCUGUUCUCAGAGCCUUAGAGAGAGUGACAUAGAUGUCUAAUUUAGGGCUGAGAGCUCACCAGUCACUUGCUCCCCACACUUGGAUCAGCUGUGAGUGUCGCCCUGACUGCCAGUUACCAGGAGCAGCGUGUUCUUUUAAGCAGCUUUAAAUAAUUUCCUUUUGACUUGCAGAUAUGAUUAGUUCCCUUCACAAAUCCUUCCUCUGAGAGAGGGGAGGUGUACGGCCAAAGUUUACUUGUCUGAAUUAUUUCUUAUUCCGAAAGAGUAGGUUCCAAAUCAACGCUACUGACUGCUCUAUUCAGUCAGCUCAAGGACGGCCAGUAGGUGAACAAAAAUCAAUGGAGAGCGAGUCUCAGAAGUGUCAGAGAAGGGCAAACAUAUUUGACAAAAAAA